CCGUUCCGGGCGCGUGGUGGACUGCCCAGGCCAUGUACGGCGGCAAGGAGAGGAAGCCGGUGCGAAUCCGGCGCGGUCCCGCCACUGUCACCGGGGAAGAACAUCCCGGGAGCCAGGAACUCUCACCGCCGAAUCUCGUCGAAC
Molecule: non-coding RNA, 144 nt
Filed under: Streptomyces incarnatus
Lineage: Bacteria; Bacillati; Actinomycetota; Actinomycetes; Kitasatosporales; Streptomycetaceae
Source: RNAcentral